RNAcentral lists this ribosomal RNA (172 nucleotides) under Hirsutella aphidis. RNAcentral's name for it is "5.8S ribosomal RNA". The stretch from base 16 to 169 matches the Rfam family "5.8S ribosomal RNA". Rfam says of the family: 5.8S ribosomal RNA (5.8S rRNA) is a component of the large subunit of the eukaryotic ribosome. The record is from RNAcentral. Lineage: Eukaryota; Fungi; Ascomycota; Sordariomycetes; Hypocreales; Ophiocordycipitaceae.
AAACAAAUGAAUCAAAACUUUCAACAACGGAUCUCUUGGUUCUGGCAUCGAUGAAGAACGUAGCGAAAUGCGAUAAGUAAUGUGAAUUGCAGAAUUCAGUGAAUCAUCGAAUCUUUGAACGCACAUUGCGCCCGCCAGCACUCUGGCGGGCAUGCCUGUCCGAGCGUCAUUU